UUAAUCGAAGCCAAAUAAGAGGCAUUUUAUUGUUAAUAAAAAUACUGAAAAAUUUUCCGGUUAAA
This 65-nucleotide transfer RNA is filed under the name Convexana sp. 1 JW-2022a. Its description in RNAcentral is "tRNA-Asn". Lineage: Eukaryota; Metazoa; Arthropoda; Insecta; Hemiptera; Cicadellidae. The record is from RNAcentral.